UGCAACUGGACCUGGACCUGGAGGUUGCCCCCUGGGCCCGUCGCCAUCGGUUGAGAUGAAGCAGGUGAAUAAGAAGGGGGUGGCGACGAAGAUGGUGGAGUGGCAUAUGCGAGAGGUGGAGGAGAUCAGCAAUUAAUUCAAGAGGGAGGUUGUUCUCAUCAACGGCUCAGAGGCGGAGCAAGUGGGCAAGGCCUCUUGCUCAACAAGAUUGCUGAGAUCUGUUAAUUUUAAUUUUUGAAAUGCUGAAAUCUGUUCAGAUGCUUUGUUUACUAGCUAAAAAAUUGCAGCAGAUAAGGACAGAAAUUUGUUGAUUUUUCUCAACAUGGUGCCGCUUGAUCAGUACUCAAUGAAGAUGAACUGACCAUCAUAGCCGGUGUUGAUUACAGGUAAACGCACUGAAUUUUCCAUUGUGCCAAAACUAACGUAUUAGAAUCUUUCUAAUUGUUGCUACCACAUUUCAUAGUAAGAACACGAUGGUGCAAAGGAAUCUCAUUAUCUAGCCAUAUGUAAUCUCGGUUUCUUAAUAUGCAAACUGUCAUAAGAGUUAGCCCACAUUAAUGUUGCUCCAUUUUUGCUAUCUAUUGAUCUAUGACAAAGGGGAUGUGCUGGCGCCAGUGCUUGUUGCUAACUUGCUAUUCAAAGAAAGGAGUGGAUCUGGCAAUAUGAAAAUCAAUAAAGGUCAUCUUUCCUAUGGCUUUUGUUAUUAGGUACAUGCAGUGUGUGUCACUUCCUUAGAUCAUAUCUGGUUCCUAAAGUUUUAGAUGUUUCAUAUAACCAUCGGGUGCCUUUUAGGAAAAAUAUGACCAUCUGUUAUCCCAUAUGGCAGUCCUUGUACAUGUUUCUUUUAUCUGCUUUAAAAAUUUAUUGUGAAGCAAAAUAAAGUUGUAUGUAAGAAUAUCAUAGGUUGUGUUUAUAUAUACAAGGAUCGCUUCAAGUUCCUAAUUUUUUUAGUGAAGCAUUAAGUUGAGAAUGUAGAAUGGGGGACCAAAAUACUUUUUAUGUAAGUACCGGAGGAGGAAUUGAAAUUAGUCUACCUUGUGUGUG
Molecule: long non-coding RNA, 1044 nt
Filed under: Triticum aestivum (bread wheat)
Lineage: Eukaryota; Viridiplantae; Streptophyta; Magnoliopsida; Poales; Poaceae
Description: long non-coding RNA (TAES_LNC026765)
Source: RNAcentral